UUAAAUAUUUUAAUUUUGUCUCGUUAAUGACAGCAUAUACAUUUUUUUUAGCUUCAUAUGAUGGUCCCUGGUGGGCAGUACUAGGGCAAAAAUGCCACACAUGUGUCACGCAUGUACCUAAAAACGCAUGUGUCACAGGUGUGUCACAUGCGUAAUACACAUGUUUCUUGCCACGCAUGUGAAUCAUGCGUGGUACACAUGCGUUCACAUGCGUUACACACGCAUGUGAAUCGCAUGUGUCAGAAAAACACCUGUGUCACGCAUGUGUUGGAAAACGUGUGUGACACAUGCGAUAUUUGCAGGUGUAACACAUGUAUAGUCAAACGCAUGUGUAACGCAUGUGUUACACAGGCAAAUUUUGUUGAUGUGAAUUCAAGUUAAAUUUUUCACGUGAAUUUUACGUUAAACUUUUCAUGUGAAAUUCACAUGAAAAAAAGUUAAUUGUGUCCAAGUUGAAAAAAAUUAACAUCAAAAUUAAAACUUGUUUAUUAACAUCUAAUACCUUGUAAGACAUAUAUUCCAUUGAAAAUCUUAUUUUACUUUUAAAAAAUUUAUUUUCACACGAAACCCCCCUUUUUUAGAAUGAUCAAUGCAUUUAAAUGGGGAAAUAUAAUUGGAACCCCCCUUUUAUCCUGUGUUGGGAUGCUCCCCCUUUUAAAAAUGGCUGGAUCAGCCACUGAUUAUCCUUAAUUGUCACCAUAAAAAAUGGUAUUUUAUUCAAUCUGCUUAGAAAAAUAAUCGCAGGAAAAAAAAGGCAAAGUAAAAAUAAAGUUGCAAUAAUUGUCAGAUAUGGGUCCAGGAUCCUGAAAAAAAGUGAGACUAGACUUGUAAAAAGUCUCUCUCUAUAUAUAAUUCCUAAAGGGAGUAGGCCAGGGGAUUCUGUGAAUCAUCCCCCUUCCCCCAUAAAAUCUUCUUCUUAUUUGAACAAUUAAAAGUUUAAUCUUUAAACAUUUAUUUUAAUUAAGAUUUUCAUUGGUACUUCUUUUAAUACAUAUACACAGGUAAAAGAAGUAUGCGUUUAUAUUGGGAGAAUUUGGUGUUAAUGGCAGAUCUUUUGAUCUUCACCACUUUGAAAAAAAAUGAUUUAGAACUUGGAAUAUCUAGAUAUGUUGUGUUGUGUUUUUGUUAUUAUUGUUUGAAUAACUUUCUCAAAGGUGUGUUACAAUAACCUCAUACAUCUCUUUUUAUUCCUAUGUAUCUGCCAACUAUCUUGGACAAAAGACAGACAGAUACACCCAGUAGAUAUAUUUAAGUCUUAAGUGCUUCAUACAGUUAUGGAACUAAAUUAUACAUUUGCAUAUUUUAUUUAGUAUUUUCUUAUUUGUAACCCUUGUGUUACAAAAAUGACUGAUUGUAUGUAACAUUGACAUUGGAUUGUACAAGUGAAAAUUUAAAAAUUACCUUUUGGUAGUUCAAACAAACGUGACCAAUUAACAUUGUCAAUACUUGAUUGUUGACCAUUCUGAUUAUCUGUCCAAGUACAAAACUAUGCUAACAAGAUAAUACACAUGAGCAUAUAGAAAGUACUUGAAAAGUUUCAGAGUGUUUGGGGUAGUCUGUCCUGUUCAAUACGGCUCAUAAGAUAAAGGGGAAAGCAACACUGUUAUCGUGUUUAAAUCACGACAAACAAUAGUCACUACAUACAUGUCCCUUUAAUUUUAAGGCUUUCACAAUGUACAGAAUAAUAUACCAUUAUAACUUUAUCAUACAUUUCUUCAUCUUUGGUGUGGAAUAAAAGCAAAGGACAUACUUACCUGCUUAUAUUUUACUUGUGUUUCAAGCAAGCAUUUGGUGGGUUGAGAGGGGUUUACUGUAACGGCGGUUAUAAACCUACCACCACCCAAGUGCCACCACAUCAGUGUCCUGCAUGCACUUGCCCGCAGGCGGUGUCAAAAGUUACAUGUGCUUGUGUUCUUUCAAAGUUCAUAAAAUGUGGAACAAAUGUCCUCAAUUUCUCUAUUCUAUUUUUAAGGGGAACAUAAAUAUCAAUCAGUGUUGGAGCUGGGACUAUUGUAAAAUAGUCUCGAUAAUAGUCCCAGGUUGGAGGCAUUAAUGUCAUUAAUACCAUUGUGAGGGUACUACUGGAAAGAAGUUGUUUAAGAAUACAUCAACGAAGGAUUUGUUUAUUGGAUCAACGGUGAUAACAUUUUAAAACUGUGAUACCCAAACAACCUUGGUAUGAAAAACUGGACAGAAAUCUUCAGUAACCGUUGUGCUUAACAUUACACAAAAACUAAAGAUUGUGCCAUUGACGGAUCCAGAAAUUUUCAUAAGGGGUCCCACUGACUGCUAAAGAGGGGGCCUCCCUAGUCAUGCAUCAGUGAUUCCCGAUAUAAUAGAUCAAAUUUUUCCCACAAAAAGGGGAGGGGCAGGGUGCUCUAAAUCCGCCUUUAUGUGCAACACGAACCUCCAAAAUAGAUGGGUGAACUCUGACAAGUAUUGUGAAUGAUAAAGUUAGGAACUUCCUGCUAGGUUUGAGUAUACAUGUAAUUGCCAAAUUAAGUAAGUAAAACUUUGAUUCGCCAUAUUGGCAAACAUGUGAAGAUAAGAUCUGGUGAGCUUUUCGUCGAAUAUCAUGAGGAGAAAGUGUUAAAAAUAUUUGCAUAGUUCAUGAGUUGAAAACUAUAAAACAAAAUAUAUUGUUUAACCUUGGACAAAAAGAUCAAGUCCAAAACUAGCUGUUAUGUGUGUAGGCUAGCUUAAAUUUGAAGAGUAUGCAAUUCUAAAUCAAGGAGGCGGUAGGCAAUUUCCUAAUUAUAUUACAAAAGAACUUGUCACAGAUUCUUAACUAAACGUCUAUCAGAUAAGUAAAAUUUCUAAUUCACUAGUUGACAUCUGUUGGACAUAGAUACUCAAAUUGCAGAAUCUUAUUAGUAAUAAUAAAAAAUCAGUGUUUUCUGUGACAUCAUUUUGAAAAAUAUAUGUUUAUAUUUUAUUCAUUACACUCUAACUGUUUAACAUUUAAUUCUUCUCUGAUUAGAGUAAUUAUCGUUUGUCAAUUUUCCAAACUUCCCAUGCCCCCCUCAGCAGAGUUAUUUAAUUCUGAAUGGAACAAAAUGUGAAUGAGUUAUAAAUAAUAUAUAAAUGAUUGAAUAUUCUUUAUUUAGUUUUUCUUUGUUCUCAAUUCUUCCAGAGACAUGUAUAUGCUCUGAGAAUAAUGUCUUUGCAUGAUUCUUCAUAAUUAAGUAUACUCAAUUAUUCUCUAUGAUCCUUCUUCUAUUUUUUUGCUUUUCAACUAUCUAUAUAUAUUUUUGUGUCCUUAUUUAAAUCCCCAUUCUUGAUUCCAGACUAACUCUCAUAUAUUAUACAUAAAUGUACGAAAGCUUGGCACGCCGAAUACGGAAACCCGGAAAUCUUUUCACCGUUGCCGUUUUUAUACUAUGACGCAAAAUCCAUGGACGCUCGUCUGCUGCUGAAUUCAUGUUUUACUGUUUAAAAAGAAUGGACAAAGAUAGUCAGAUAGUUGAUACAAAGACCUUUGAUUUUUCAAACUGAUGGAUCAAAAAGUUAUUAUAAACAGAUAUAUUGAAAUGGCUUUUUCAACGAAAGUACAAUUACUUUGAGAAGUAGGAGAAGCUAAGCAACAGGACAGAAUUCAUUUGCGGCAUUGCUUUUUAGAUUAUAUAGUGGAGUCAUAGAUCGUCCUAUUGAUUUAUGUGCAUAUGAGGAGUAGUAGUCAAUGAAUAAUUUUGUGAUGAGAGAAUUAGCUCCUGAGAUGUAAGUGGAAGGGAAGCUAUAUACAUUAUAUGUUUUAAUGAAAUUAACAACAGGAUUAGAUAUUGAGGAGAUCCUUUAGCUACAGUAUAUAUAAAUGUAACUGCAACUGUAUUCCAAGAGUCUGAUGGCUGAUAAUGUAUUACAGGAUUUUAUCAUUCAAGCAACAUCUUAGAAGGAUAAGUGCAAAUGUAUGAAGGAAGCCUUGGGUACAAAUAGAAAUUACAGCAAUUACAUGCAGGAGAGAACUCUUAAACAUUAUUAACAGACAUGUCGUCAUUAUAUGGGAGUGGUAUAUUUAAGAAAUCUAAAACACAUGAAAUAAAAUAUUGUGUAUAUUAUUUCAACCACAAGUACUCUCAGAAUAUAAUACAAUUCAAAUUCAAAUUAUUGUGUCAACAUGACAAUUAUAGUCUAAAAAUGGAAAAUGCAUGUUUUAAACUGAAUUUUAUAUAAAUAUUUGAAAUAACAAGAAUUUUUAGUCUAUUGUGCAGCCAAACUUUGAGAUCUUCUA
Long non-coding RNA from Mytilus californianus (California mussel), 4228 nucleotides. RefSeq lists it as uncharacterized. Lineage: Eukaryota; Metazoa; Mollusca; Bivalvia; Mytilida; Mytilidae. The record is from RefSeq and is a predicted model, not a curated record. The transcript has 4 exons.